RNAcentral lists this ribosomal RNA (939 nucleotides) under uncultured archaeon. RNAcentral describes it as "bacterial SSU rRNA". It matches the Rfam family "Archaeal small subunit ribosomal RNA", at positions 1 to 923 of the family's 1478-position model. The record is from RNAcentral.
UUCCGGUUGAUCCUGCCGGACCCCACUGCUAUCAAGGUGGGACUAAGCCAUGCUAGUUGUACGCUUCAAACUAGUGAAGAGUAGCAUACUGCUCAGUAACACGUAGUUAACCUACCCUCUGGAUGGAGACACCCCCGGGAAACUGGGGCUAAUCUCAAAUAGAUAUAGAGGCCUGGAAUGGUUCUAUAUUCAAAUGCAUAAUAACCAUGUUUAUUAUGUGCCAAAGGAUGGGGCUGCGGCUGAUCAGGCAGUUGGUGAGGUAAUGGCUCACCAAACCUUUGACCGGUACGGGCCGUGAAAGCGGUAGCCCGGAGAUGGGUACUGAGACAAGGACCCAGGCCCUACGGGGCGCAGCAGGCGCGAAAACUCCACAAUGUACGUAAGUAUGAUGGGGUUACCUUGAGUGCAGUCUGAAAAAGGUUGCUUUUCCAUAGAGUAAUAUCCUAUGGGAAUAAGAGGGGGGCAAGACUGGUGUCAGCCGCCGCGGUAACACCAGCCCCUCGAGUGGUGGGGACUUUUAUUUGGCCUAAAGCGUCCGUAGCUGGCUGUUUCCGUCACCCGUUAAAUCCAGCGUCCUAAGCGUUGGACUGCGGGUGAUACCAAACAGCUAGAGGGUGGGAGAGGUCAGCGGUAUUCUUGGGGUAGGGGCGAAAUCCUUUGAUCCCAGGAGGACCACCAGUGGCGAAGGCUGCUGACUAGAACACGCCUGACGGUCAGGGACGAAAGCUGGGGUAGCGAACCGGAUUAGAUACCCGGGUAGUCCCAGCUGUAAACGAUGCUCGCUAGGUGUUGGGUCGGCCAUGCGCCGCCCCAGUGCCGCAGGGAAGCCGUUAAGCGAGCCGCCUGGGGAGUACGGCCGCAAGGCUGAAACUUAAAGGAAUUGGCGGGGGAGCACCACCAGGCGUGAAGCUUGCGGUUUAAUUGGAUUCAACGCCGGAA